Molecule: ribosomal RNA, 253 nt
Filed under: uncultured bacterium
Lineage: Bacteria
Description: partial 16S ribosomal RNA
Rfam family: Bacterial small subunit ribosomal RNA
Source: RNAcentral
UACGGGGGGGGUAAGCGUUGUUCGGAAUUACUGGGCGUAAAGGGCUCGUAGGCGGCCAACUAAGUCGGACGUGAAAUCCCUCAGCUUAACCGGGGAACUGCGUCUGAUACUGGAUGGCUUGAAUCCGGGAGAGGGAUGCGGAAUUCCAGGUGUAGCGGUGAAAUGCGUAGAUAUCUGGAGGAACACCGGUGGCGAAGGCGGCAUCCUGGACCGGCAUUGACGCUGAGGAGCGAAAGCCAGGGGAGCAAACGGG